RNAcentral lists this ribosomal RNA (506 nucleotides) under uncultured bacterium. Its description in RNAcentral is "partial 16S ribosomal RNA". It matches the Rfam family "Bacterial small subunit ribosomal RNA", at positions 30 to 523 of the family's 1533-position model. The record is from RNAcentral.
AUUGAACGCUGGCGGCAGGCCUAACACAUGCAAGUCGAACGGCAGCGGGGGAUAGCUUGCUAUCCUGCCGGCGAGUGGCGGACGGGUGAGUAAUGCAUGGGGAGCUGCCCAAUCGAGGGGGAUAACAACUGGAAACGGUUGCUAAUACCGCAUACGCCCUGCGGGGGAAAGGUGGGGACCUUCGGGCCUACCGCGAUUGGAUGCAGCCAUGUGGGAUUAGCUAGUUGGUGAGGUAACGGCUCACCAAGGCGACGAUCUCUAGCUGGUCUGAGAGGAUGACCAGCCACACUGGAACUGAGACACGGUCCAGACUCCUACGGGAGGCAGCAGUGGGGAAUAUUGCACAAUGGGGGAAACCCUGAUGCAGCCAUGCCGCGUGUGUGAAGAAGGCCUUCGGGUUGUAAAGCACUUUCAGUCAGGAGGAAGGGGAGCAAGCUAAUAUCUUGUUUCAUUGACGUUACUGACAGAAGAAGCACCGGCUAACUCCGUGCCAGCCGCCGCCGUAA